Unclassified non-coding RNA from Papio anubis (olive baboon), 148 nucleotides. It matches the Rfam family "Metazoan signal recognition particle RNA". From Rfam's summary of the family: The signal recognition particle (SRP) is a universally conserved ribonucleoprotein. It is involved in the co-translational targeting of proteins to membranes. The record is from Ensembl. NCBI's taxonomy places the organism in Eukaryota, Metazoa, Chordata, Mammalia, Primates, Cercopithecidae.
GCUGGGCAUGGUGGCGCAUGCCUGUAAUCCCAGCUACUAGGGAGGCUGAGGCGGGAGGAUCGCUUGAACCCAGGAGGCAGAGGUUUCAGUGAGCUGAGAUCAUGCCAUUGCACUUCAGCCUGGGUGACAGAAUGAGACCCUGUCUUAA